RNAcentral lists this long non-coding RNA (603 nucleotides) under Anas platyrhynchos platyrhynchos (common mallard). RNAcentral's name for it is "lncRNA (ENSAPLG00000020649.1)". The record is from RNAcentral. Lineage: Eukaryota; Metazoa; Chordata; Aves; Anseriformes; Anatidae.
GAAAUAUCUUAAAGCAAACAGCAUAUCAUAGGAAGGAGCUCAGCAACUUCAGCUUUUAACUUCCAAGGGCAUCAUCAGGAGAUGAAGGAUCUAUCCCAUGAUGAGCACCUUCACUAUAUCCAGAGAGGAAGGAUUCCAAAGAAACUAUUGCAUAUCGGGGCUUGGCAUUGAGAAGGCUGCCUGGACUAAUCUAUGCCUUCUUUCUCAGACCCUGCACUGCCAACACAAGGAACUCACAAAAGGCAUGGCCACAGAAUACGCCGCUCUUUUGUUCCCAGAACAGCACCUUCCAGGGGUCAAAGGAAAACAAGUCUGAUAAGCUGAUGCCAAGUCAUACCUCACUGCAGAGAUGGCUGACUGAAAGGGAUAAAGUCAAAGAUCUAUUUGAAGCUUGGAUCAUCCAGGACAUCUUCCACAGCCAAUUUCUCAAAUAUAAUGUAGGAAGAGAAAAACCACACUGCCUGGAUGCAGCUUAAGAGACUGAAAGGAUUUCCGGGACUGUUUGCUGAGAAGAAUACUUAGCUGAAGGCUCAGUCAUUGGUUGAUAUGAACCAACUUUUAAAUGUGAAUAAACAAAUUUUUAUCCAUUUCUUCUCCUGAAAU